UAUGUUUUUCUGAGAAGAUACAUGC
This 25-nucleotide non-coding RNA is filed under the name Cricetulus griseus (Chinese hamster). Lineage: Eukaryota; Metazoa; Chordata; Mammalia; Rodentia; Cricetidae. The record is from RNAcentral.